CCUACGGGUGGCAGCAGUGAGGAAUAUUGGUCAAUGGCCGAGAGGCUGAACCAGCCAAGUCGCGUGAAGGAUGACUGCCCUAUGGGUUGUAAACUUCUUUUAUAAGGGAAUAAAAAAUGCCACGUGUACCUUGAUGCCUGUACCUUAUGAAUAAGCAUCGGCUAACUCCGUGCCAGCAGCCGCGGUAAUCCGGAGGAUGCGAGCGUUAUCCGGAUUUAUUGGGGGUAAAGGGUGCGUAGGUGGGUUGUUAAGUUAGGUGGUAAAUCUUGGGGCCGCACCUUUGAAUUGCCAUUAAUACUGUCAGACUCGAGUUCAGACGAGGUAGGCGGAAUUAGUGAAGUAGCGGUGAAAUGCUUAGAUAUAACGUAGAACUCCGAUAGCGAAGGCAGCUUACCAGACUGCGACUGACGCUGAUGCACGAGAGCGUGGGUAGCGAACAGGAUUAGAUACCCCUGUAGUC
This 460-nucleotide ribosomal RNA is filed under the name uncultured bacterium. Its description in RNAcentral is "partial 16S ribosomal RNA". It matches the Rfam family "Bacterial small subunit ribosomal RNA", at positions 338 to 795 of the family's 1533-position model. The record is from RNAcentral.